GACGAACGCUGGCGGCGUGCUUAACACAUGCAAGUCGAACGGAAAGGCCCUGCUUUUGUGGGGUGCUCGAGUGGCGAACGGGUGAGUAACACGUGAGUAACCUGCCCUUGACUUUGGGAUAACUUCAGGAAACUGGGGCUAAUACCGGAUAGGAGCUCCUGAUGCAUGGUGGGGGUUGGAAAGUUUCGGCGGUUGGGGAUGGACUCGCGGCUUAUCAGCUUGUUGGUGGGGUAGUGGCUUACCAAGGCUUUGACGGGUAGCCGGCCUGAGAGGGUGACCGGCCACAUUGGGACUGAGAUACGGCCCAGACUCCUACGGGAGGCAGCAGUGGGGAAUAUUGCACAAUGGGCGGAAGCCUGAGGCAGCAACGCCGCGUGCGGGAUGACGGCCUUCGGGUUGUAAACCGCUUUCGCCUGUGACGAAGCGUGAGUGACGGUAAUGGGUAAAGAAGCACCGGCUAACUACGUG
This 468-nucleotide ribosomal RNA is filed under the name uncultured bacterium. Its description in RNAcentral is "partial 16S ribosomal RNA". It matches the Rfam family "Bacterial small subunit ribosomal RNA", at positions 28 to 507 of the family's 1533-position model. The record is from RNAcentral.